GAUGAAGAACGUAGCGAAAUGCGAUAAGUAGUGUGAAUUGCAGAAUCCCGUGAACCAUCGAGUCUUUGAACGCAAGUUGCGCCCGAAGCCAUUAGGCCGAGGGCACGCCUGCCUGGGCGUCACACGUCGUUGCCCCCCCAUCUACUCCUUCGGGAUUGCGGGGGGCGGAUGAUGGCCUCUCGUGCGCCUCGUCGCGCGGUUGGCCUAAAUGCCAAGUCCUCGGCGACGCACGCCACGACAAUCGGUGGUUGCGAAACCUCGGUUGCCUGUCGUGUGCGGUCGUCGCGCAUCGAGGGCUCGAAAAAAUUGCCGGGCUUCGGCUCGACUUUCAACGCGACCCCAGGUCAGGCGGGGUUACCCGCUGAAUUUAAGCAUAUCAAUAAGCGGAGGA
RNAcentral lists this unclassified non-coding RNA (391 nucleotides) under soil metagenome. RNAcentral describes it as "partial contains 5.8S ribosomal RNA, internal transcribed spacer 2, and large subunit ribosomal RNA". The stretch from base 1 to 122 matches the Rfam family "5.8S ribosomal RNA", at positions 35 to 154 of the family's 154-position model. The record is from RNAcentral.